This is a long non-coding RNA of Sinocyclocheilus grahami, 102 nucleotides long. RefSeq lists it as uncharacterized. Lineage: Eukaryota; Metazoa; Chordata; Actinopteri; Cypriniformes; Cyprinidae. The record is from RefSeq and is a predicted model, not a curated record. The transcript is spliced from 3 exons.
UUGUUUGCAUCUUGUUUUUAAGCCCAUAAAUAAUAAUGUACUCGUUCUAAUAAAUUGAUAUUUGAAUGUACUCAUACUAAUAUAUUUUAAAUGUAUUACUUU